UUUAGGCUGAUGAUAUCAUCGGACAUUGUUAAUUUCUGAAACGGAUUUUUUUGCGGCGUGGAUAUUCUAGUCGGCAUGAGCUUACGAUCAACAUUAAAAAUUUCAAAAAUCAUUGGACGGGCCUGAGCAUUUACUUAUUUCGAAGAACGGUCUGCAGCGUCUCUUCGGGGGCAGAAACCGGAAGAUGCGCAGGUCGCCAGCAGGAUGAACCCGGCACCGAAGGCGAGGAGGGGCCACUGUAUAUUCGCCACCUGGCCGUGCUGGAGAUCUCUCACGAUUUGGCUGACAACACCGAUCAAGCUGCCGCUCAGCACGCCCAACAGCGCGUAGUUGUAGUGGCGGAAGGCGUACAACACGGGAAACUGCUUGGCUUCCUGCAUCUCUACGACCGACAGGGCUUCGGUCGGGUCGGCGGGGGCUUGGAAGCCGCCGAUGGACUUUAUGGCGUGGACACGAUAGGCGCUUAGUGCGCUAACGAAGAGCGUCAGGAUAAGAACGCCGCCGAUGAGGUACAGGCUGAUGGGAACGGAUGCCAUGGCUAAAAAGCACAGAGCUGUUAAGGGAUUUAGGCAGGUAUACAGUACAUAGCAUGAGGAUCGUGUACAUCCACGAAAGCUUUCGCCUUUCCCAAACACUUAUUUGCAUUGCUUUAUGACAUUUGGUAGCCAAAUUACUUGUACCCGUAUGCAGAGUACAUGGGCCGAUGAUGGGCGUGAAAACCGUUUGUGCGCGCAACUUUCGGUUCGGGAGUUAUGGCUGCCAACAAAAAUUCCAAAAGUUAUAUUAUAUGCACUCAGGUGUACCAAAAGUCUCAUUAUCAACCGACCUUCUUCAAAUUUUGCACAUACAUAAAUGCACGUAAGUGUAAAGAUCGUUUUUCAUCAAACCAGAGUUCGAGA
Molecule: long non-coding RNA, 899 nt
Organism: Paramacrobiotus metropolitanus
Lineage: Eukaryota; Metazoa; Tardigrada; Eutardigrada; Parachela; Macrobiotidae
Exons: 3
Source: RefSeq, a predicted model, not a curated record